UACGAAGGGGGCUAGCGUUGCUCGGAAUUACUGGGCGUAAAGCGCACGUAGGCGGCUUUCUAAGUCGGGGGUGAAAUCCUGGAGCUCAACUCCAGAACUGCCUUCGAUACUGGAGAGCUUGAGUCCGGGGAGAGGUGAGUGGAACUGCGAGUGUAGAGGUGAAAUUCGUAGAUAUUCGCAAGAACACCAGUGGCGAAGGCGGCUCACUGGCCCGGUACUGACGCUGAGGUGCGAAAGCGUGGGGGAGCAAACAGGG
This 256-nucleotide ribosomal RNA is filed under the name uncultured bacterium. Its description in RNAcentral is "partial 16S ribosomal RNA". It matches the Rfam family "Bacterial small subunit ribosomal RNA", at positions 524 to 777 of the family's 1533-position model. The record is from RNAcentral.